GUAUGAGAAGUUCUGCUUGGGGACUCUACUGGGGAAAAUAAAUCCCCAUCUACUGAUUGGAGAUAUUCGUGUUGAGGACCCUCUCUCGGCUGGGGGUUCUAAUUGAUGGUAGAGAUAUUCAACAGAGCCUGGCUGGGGAUGGAUGAGAUGAUCAAUCUGUCUGAUGAUGCCGACCUCUGUUGGGGAAUAGCUGGCUGUGCCGGGGAAUACUGCCAACUUCUUCUGGGGAAAAA
Molecule: long non-coding RNA, 233 nt
Filed under: Lathyrus oleraceus (garden pea)
Lineage: Eukaryota; Viridiplantae; Streptophyta; Magnoliopsida; Fabales; Fabaceae
Description: Pisum sativum (pea) long non-coding RNA (PSAT_LNC002346)
Source: RNAcentral